RNAcentral lists this long non-coding RNA (213 nucleotides) under Elaeis guineensis (African oil palm). RNAcentral's name for it is "long non-coding RNA (EGUI_LNC073232)". The record is from RNAcentral. Lineage: Eukaryota; Viridiplantae; Streptophyta; Magnoliopsida; Arecales; Arecaceae.
UCUUCUCUAAUAAUUAACAAAUUAAAUUAGAUAAUUAAUUAAUCAAUUUAUAUUUUUUCUUUUUAGAUGAUUUAGAAAAAUUUGAGAAGAAAAAAUGUUGGGGAUAAGGGUGAGGAUCCCAAUAAACCCCAAUAGAAGAUUUUAAAAAAUUAAUUUGAUUAAUUUAAUUUAUUUUAUAAUAUUAAUUUAAUAUAUAUAGGAGAAUAGUCCAUC